CCUCCCCCACGCGCAUGCGCGGCGCAUGCGUGGCCCGGGGUCUCGGGGCGUUGCUGGGAAACAUCUGCUGAUGGUUGCGGCGGGCACCGGCCGACAUGGCGGCAGCGGUGGCCUGAAGCCUGGCCCCUUUUCCAUCUUCUGUGAAAUGGGGCUGUGGUUGAGAGCUGGGGGCCUGGCAGGGCUGGUCACAGCACAGGGACAUGCCGACUGCUGGGCUGGGCAGGGUGCAUGGCCGCCCCUGAAGUGUAGUUUUGGGGUAAGAAGGAAUGGAGUUCAGGAAUUCCCUCACAGCCCUGCCUGUGGCUCUGGGCUGCUCCCGCCAGCGUUGCACCCUGAGCCUGGCAAUCCACGGAGGCCUGGUGUAGGGGCUCAGGGUCGAGGGCAGAGCAGGCCGGGCAGGGCCGAGGGCAGAGCAGGCCGGGCAGAGCCGAGAGUGCCAUCCCUGUCCGCACACGCUGCCGUUGUAGUUGAGAGAGGCCCUCAGUGGGUGCGGGGCUCAAGGCGGCUUAGUGGGCAGGCAUGGGCUGUGACAAGUGUCACUCAGGACGUGUGUGUGCGGUUCGGGAGUCCCACGGCCGAGGGAGGGAUUAGUGGCGCUUUUAGGCCUGG
Molecule: small RNA, 609 nt
Filed under: Pan troglodytes (chimpanzee)
Lineage: Eukaryota; Metazoa; Chordata; Mammalia; Primates; Hominidae
Description: processed transcript
Source: RNAcentral